AGCGAACGCUGGCGGCAUGCUUUACACAUGCAAGUCGAACGGUAACAGGUUAAGCUGACGAGUGGCGAACGGGUGAGUAAUGCAUCGGAACGUGCCCGGUCGUGGGGGAUAACGCAGCGAAAGCUGCGCUAAUACCGCAUACGAUCUGAGGAUGAAAGCGGGGGACCGUAAGGCCUCGCGCGAUCGGAGCGGCCGAUGUCAGAUUAGGUAGUUGGUGGGGUAAAGGCUCACCAAGCCAACGAUCUGUAGCUGGUCUGAGAGGACGACCAGCCACACUGGGACUGAGACACGGCCCAGACUCCUACGGGAGGCAGCAGUGGGGAAUUUUGGACAAUGGGCGAAAGCCUGAUCCAGCAAUGCCGCGUGCAGGAAGAAGGCCUUCGGGUUGUAAACUGCUUUUGUACGGAGCGAAAAGGUCUCCUCUAAUACAGGGGGCUCAUGACGAUACCGUAAGAAUAAGCACCGGCUAACUACGUGCCAGCCGCCGCAGUAA
RNAcentral lists this ribosomal RNA (493 nucleotides) under uncultured bacterium. RNAcentral describes it as "partial 16S ribosomal RNA". It matches the Rfam family "Bacterial small subunit ribosomal RNA", at positions 29 to 523 of the family's 1533-position model. The record is from RNAcentral.